AUUGAACGCUGGCGGCAGGCUUAACACAUGCAAGUCGAGCGGUAGCACAGGGGAGCUUGCUCCCUGGGUGACGAGCGGCGGACGGGUGAGUAAUGUCUGGGAAACUGCCUGAUGGAGGGGGAUAACUACUGGAAACGGUAGCUAAUACCGCAUAACGUCGCAAGACCAAAGAGGGGGACCUUCGGGCCUCUUGCCAUCAGAUGUGCCCAGAUGGGAUUAGCUAGUAGGUGGGGUAAUGGCUCACCUAGGCGACGAUCCCUAGCUGGUCUGAGAGGAUGACCAGCCACACUGGAACUGAGACACGGUCCAGACUCCUACGGGAGGCAGCAGUGGGGAAUAUUGCACAAUGGGGGCAAGCCUGAUGCAGCCAUGCCGCGUGUGUGAAGAAGGCCUUCGGGUUGUAAAGCACUUUCAGCGAGGAGGAAGGUGGUGAGCUUAAUACGUUCAUCAAUCGACGUUACUCGCAGAAGAAGCACCGGCUAACUCCGUG
RNAcentral lists this ribosomal RNA (490 nucleotides) under uncultured bacterium. RNAcentral describes it as "partial 16S ribosomal RNA". It matches the Rfam family "Bacterial small subunit ribosomal RNA", at positions 30 to 507 of the family's 1533-position model. The record is from RNAcentral.